This 393-nucleotide ribosomal RNA is filed under the name uncultured bacterium. Its description in RNAcentral is "partial 16S ribosomal RNA". It matches the Rfam family "Bacterial small subunit ribosomal RNA", at positions 523 to 918 of the family's 1533-position model. The record is from RNAcentral.
AUACGGAGGAUCCGAGCGUUAUCCGGAUUUAUUGGGUUUAAAGGGUGCGCAGGCGGGAGAUUAAGUCGGCGGUGAAAUUUUGCAGCUCAACUGUAAAAGUGCCUUCGAAACUGGUUUCCUUGAGUGUAGAUGAAGUAGGCGGAAUUUGUGGUGUAGCGGUGAAAUGCAUAGAUAUCGCGAGGAACUCCGAUUGCGCAGGCAGCUUACUAAACUACUACUGACGCUCAGGCACGAAGGCGUGGGGAUCAAACAGGAUUAGAUACCCUGGUAGUCCACGCAGUAAACGAUGAUUACUAGCUGUUUGCGAUACAAUGUAAGCGGCUGAGCGAAAGCGUUAAGUAAUCCACCUGGGGAGUACGUUCGCAAGAAUGAAACUCAAAUGAAUUGACGGGG